Molecule: ribosomal RNA, 427 nt
Filed under: uncultured bacterium
Lineage: Bacteria
Description: partial 16S ribosomal RNA
Rfam family: Bacterial small subunit ribosomal RNA
Source: RNAcentral
UGGGGAAUAUUGCACAAUGGGCGCAAGCCUGAUGCAGCCAUGCCGCGUGUAUGAAGAAGGCCUUCGCGUUGUAAAGUACUUCCAGCGGGGAGGAAGGCGAUAAGGUUAAUAACCUUGUCGAUUGACGUUACCCGCAGAAGAAGCACCGGCUAACUCCGUGCCAGCAGCCGCGGUAAUACGGAGGGUGCAAGCGUUAAUCGGAAUUACUGGGCGUAAAGCGCACGCAGGCGGUGUGUCAAGUCGGAUGUGAAAUCCCCGGGCUCAACCUGGGAACUGCAUUCGAAACUGGCAGGCUAGAGUCUUGUAGAGGGGGGUAGAAUUCCAGGUGUAGCGGUGAAAUGCGUAGAGAUCUGGAGGAAUACCGGUGGCGAAGGCGGCCCCCUGGACAAAGACUGACGCUCAGGUGCGAAAGCGUGGGGAGCAAACA